RNAcentral lists this ribosomal RNA (254 nucleotides) under uncultured bacterium. RNAcentral describes it as "partial 16S ribosomal RNA". It matches the Rfam family "Bacterial small subunit ribosomal RNA", at positions 524 to 776 of the family's 1533-position model. The record is from RNAcentral.
CACGUAGGAGGCGAGCGUUGUCCGGAAUCAUUGGGCGUAAAGAGCGCGCAGGCGGCCCGGCAAGUCGGGUGUGAAAUCCCGGGGCUCAACCCCGGGACUGCAUUCGAUACUGCCGGGCUAGAGGUAGGUAGGGGAGAUCGGAAUUCCUGGUGUAGCGGUGAAAUGACGCAGAUAUCAGGAGGAACACCGGUGGCGAAGGCGGCUUGCUGGGCCAGUUCUGACGCUGAGGAGCGAAAGCGUGGGGAGCGAACAGG